GGGGAAGGAUGAGAAGCUUCGACUAAGGUUCGAUUCGAGCGAAAGCGAGAAAGCGUUGCCAACGGCAACGACCCGAAGGGCGAAGCGCGCAGCGCUGAGUCAUCCUUCCCCCACCACCA
Molecule: small RNA, 119 nt
Filed under: Salmonella enterica subsp. enterica serovar Waycross
Lineage: Bacteria; Pseudomonadati; Pseudomonadota; Gammaproteobacteria; Enterobacterales; Enterobacteriaceae
Also listed under: 2 other names
Description: RtT sRNA
Rfam family: RtT RNA
About the family: This family represents a bacterial cis-regulatory element known as RtT RNA. The exact function of RtT is unknown although it is thought that it may be involved in changing the cellular response in relation to amino acid starvation.
Source: RNAcentral